RNAcentral lists this ribosomal RNA (253 nucleotides) under uncultured bacterium. RNAcentral's name for it is "partial 16S ribosomal RNA". It matches the Rfam family "Bacterial small subunit ribosomal RNA", at positions 524 to 776 of the family's 1533-position model. The record is from RNAcentral.
UACGAAGGGGGCGAGCGUUGUUCGGAAUUACUGGGCGUAAAGGGCGCGUAGGCGGCGACUCUAGUCAGAUGUGAAAGUCCUGGGCUUAACCUGGGGACUGCAUUUGAUACUGGGUUGCUUGAAUUCGGGAGAGGAUAGCGGAAUUCCCAGUGUAGAGGUGAAAUGCGUAGAUAUCUGGAGGAACACCGGUGGCGAAGGCGGCAUCCUGGACCAACACUGACGCUGAGGAGCGAAAGCCAGGGGAGCAAACGGG